RNA transcript from Saimiri boliviensis boliviensis (Bolivian squirrel monkey), 3004 nucleotides. RefSeq lists it as uncharacterized. NCBI's taxonomy places the organism in Eukaryota, Metazoa, Chordata, Mammalia, Primates, Cebidae. The record is from RefSeq and is a predicted model, not a curated record.
AUGACCAGAAACAAGUCCCAUCCAUCUGCAGGUGCCUCCAGUUUGAGGGAGGAGAGAGGACACCCCCUCCACCCCAGACAUGGGAAAGCAGUCCACCUGCGCACCAGCGACAGGACACGUGGCUGGGUGCAGACGCCGGACUGGAGUCGCGGAGGACACGCGGGACGACUGAGCGCGCGGCGGCGGCGGGAGGAGAUGCAGGUCCCGCCCCCUUCCCGCCGCCGACGGGGCGCGCGCGCCGAGGAGCCCGGGACAGGUGACUCCUAGGGGACGGCUUCUGCGCCUUCCCCGGCGGGAGUCCCUUCUUCACGGCCUCUGCCGCCCCCUGCGUCCCCUCCUGGGCUUCCGAGAGUCUGACUCAGCCGAGCCGGCAUCGCUUCGCUUCCUACCACACACCCCGAGCGCGAGGAGAAAUGACAGGAUGGCAGAGGCACGGCUAAUGCGCUCUAAUUACCCACCGCCGCUGUCUUCCGCGGCGCUCCGCGGCACUGGGCCAACGCACCCUAAUUAGGCCGCCCCUCCCUGGUCCUGGAACCCGCCCUUCGCCACUCCCCACCCACCUCGCGGCCCCCAGGAGCACUGGCUGCAGCCCUCCGGGACUGCCCCAAGAGAGCUACGAGGCCUUACUGAGGGACAGAACUUGGGGAGACCGAAGCCGGCGCCUUCACUCCCCUAAACUUACAGCCCUCGAAGUUCUCCGCUGGAGGAGACUGGGAGAGUGGGGAGGGGCCAGAGACCUAUUUCGUUGACAGAAACACUGACUUCUGUUGGAACGUUAUCCUUCAGUGGGAGGAGUGGCAAAGGCAGGCAGGGCAGCAGUACCCGCACUUGGCACUGAAGGCACCGAGAAGGGAAGGAAAGUCCGUCCAACCGGAACUCCCAGAUCCGCUCGUUUAACAGUGGCCUAAUGAGCAGCACAAUGGGCUCCCUCCCCUGACAGGGAAAUUACCUUCCUGCCAAGAGAAGUGACAUCCCCACCACAGACACGGAGCCCCCGCCCGCUGGCCGACUGUGGCUUGUUGAUCAUAGGGGAGCUAGUGAGGAGUGGGGCGGCUCUGGCCUCCCAUGUCAGGUAGGGUGUGAGAGGCCCUGAAGAUAGAAGCCAGGCCUGUAGGCCAGAAUUAAAGGGGCAGCGUGGCCAUCAGCUCGUUUCCCACAACCAGGCUCAGAGCUCUCCUCUAUCAGGAAUUCUUUCCUGGGGUCCAGGAGGUUGCAAACUCAUGGCCCUAGGCCACGUUUCAUCUUCAGUGAGGUUUUGUUUGGCUUGCAAUGAGUACCUGGGUUUUAGACUGAAUGUGAGAGCCUGCAGACAGUGUGAGUUCUCCAACUGCCCUCCCAGUGAAGCUGGACCUCUGAUUUAGAUCAGCCCACUGGGCCCGUGCCUUCACCCUUUCCUCAGGGCCAAGACCUCAGUCCCCAUGAUUGCUGCUCCUUUGUGGUCUGCACGUUUCUUGGUAAGCAUACGCAGUCAAGUGUCUCUGGGAGCCCACUCUGUCAUCGUCAGCUUCCCUACAUGCAGUAGCCAUGGUGGCUGCACAUGCUCCCGGAUACCCCUCCACACUACCUUUUGUCAUUCUGAGUUUCAGUCCGACUUGGGUGGACUGUAUUUUCUCCAACAGGGAUGGCAGCUAUUUUUCUGCCAUGAGACUAGAGCAUGCUUGAGAAGAGGAAAUUGGAUCUCUCCCUCCAGACUGGGAUUUCACUAAGGGGCUGGGCAAGGGGGGAAUAUGAGAGGAUUAUUCUCCAUCACAGGGAGUGCUCUGCAGUAAGGGCUGUGUCUCUGAUUCAGACUGAUGGUUCCCUGAGGACGGGGCAGUGUCUCCCCUCAGACUGGGGCCCCCUUUCCCCUCAGACUGGGUCUCCCUGAGGAUGGAGCUGAGUCUCCCCUCAGACUGGGGCUCCCUGAGGACAGGGCUGUCUCCCCCCUUCAGACUGGGGCCUCCCCCAAAGGACAGGGACGGUGUCUCCCCGAGAAUAGGCUCUUUGUGUCUUCUGGAUCAGACUGAGAUCUUCAUGAGGACAGGGCUGUGUCUCCCCCUCAAUCUGGAGCUCUCUGAAGGCAAUCGCCUCUCCCCUCAAGUGGGCCGUUUGCACCCCACCGCACCCCACCCUCUGGCUCCCCAUGGCACCCAGGCAUUCCUCCCAGGACACCAUUUGUCACGCUUUGAUGAAUGAACCCUACUAAGAAUAACUCAGUCCUUGUAGGCACUAAAGGACAGGGGGAGGGAGAGGGAGGAGGCUGGUGAUUGUGGGGGUGCUGGGGGAGGAGGGACACACUCCAUUUAUUCAGUAGCAUUUCCUGGAUGCCCAGCUGGGCACUGGGGGAGACACAGUGAGUGCCACGGAGCCCCCUACUGUGCCAUUUCUGCCACCGACAGCCAGGGGCGUCCCCUGAGACAGAAAGUUUAGGCCCCUGCUUCACAGCCUUCCCACCCCAGCAAUCAUUACCUCAGGGCCAGCCAGCCCCCUCCAUGCCAAUCAGGAGCUCUCUCUGCUCCUCCUAUCAGUGGAGGGGAGACUUUGAAAUCAGGUGCUUGGGGUAGGGAAGCUGCUCCCAGUGGGGGUGUGAGGAACCCAGAGGAUGAAUCCCUGUCCCCGCCAACCCUACUCUGUUCUUCCUUACCCUGCCCCUUUCCACUCCAAAACCUCAAGCCUCUAGUUCAUAUUCAAGUGACCUUUCCAAUGCAACUGUUCUCAGGGGCCCCCCUGGGAACUGUGAGGCUGUGAUCUUAACCCACUUCUUUGGAUGGUGCCUUCCUGGCACUCCGCCUCCACCUGCCACCUCCUGAGAGGAACAUUUCGGCCUGUCUUGGCAAAAACAUCAGUCUGUGAUCCAGGCAGCCUGGUACAAUACCAGCUUUGCUACUGACACCACUGUGACCUUGAGAAGCCAUUUACAACCUAUGGGCCUCAGUUUCUCCAUAAGUAAAAUGUUUGUUUAGGUUUCCUGAUUUUCAAAUCUUUUUUUUUUUUUCAACAAUGAAUCCUCUUGUUUGAAUUGUAA